GAUGAACGCUGGCGGCGUGCCUAAUACAUGCAAGUCGAGCGAACAGACGAGGAGCUUGCUCCUCUGACGUUAGCGGCUGACGUGUGAGUAACACGUGGAUAACCUACCUAUAAGACUGGGAUAACUUCGGGAAACCGGAUCUAAUACCGGAUAAUAUAUUGAACCGCAUGGUUCAAUAGUUAAUUACGGUUUUUCUGUCUCUUUUAGAUUCAUCCGCGCCGCAUUAGCUAGUUGGUAAGGUAACGGCUUACCAAGGCAACGAUGCGUAGCCGACAUGAGAGGGUGAUCGGCAACACUGGAACAGAGACACGGUACAGACUCCGACGGGAGGCAGCAGUAGGGAAUCUUCCGCAAUGGGCGAAAGCAUGACGGAGCAAAGCCGAGUGAGUGAUGAAGGUCUUCGGAUCGUAAAACUCUGUUAUUAGGGAAGAACAAAUGUGUAAGUAACUAUGCACGUCUUGACGGUACCUAAUCAGAAAGCCACGGCUAACUACGUG
RNAcentral lists this ribosomal RNA (497 nucleotides) under uncultured bacterium. Its description in RNAcentral is "partial 16S ribosomal RNA". It matches the Rfam family "Bacterial small subunit ribosomal RNA", at positions 28 to 507 of the family's 1533-position model. The record is from RNAcentral.